This 491-nucleotide ribosomal RNA is filed under the name uncultured bacterium. Its description in RNAcentral is "partial 16S ribosomal RNA". It matches the Rfam family "Bacterial small subunit ribosomal RNA", at positions 29 to 506 of the family's 1533-position model. The record is from RNAcentral.
AGUGAACGCUGGCGGUAGGCCUAACACAUGCAAGUCGAACGGCAGCACAGUAAGAGCUUGCUCUUACGGGUGGCGAGUGGCGGACGGGUGAGGAAUACAUCGGAAUCUACUUUUUCGUGGGGGAUAACGUAGGGAAACUUACGCUAAUACCGCAUACGACCUACGGGUGAAAGCAGGGGAUCUUCGGACCUUGCGCGAUUGAAUGAGCCGAUGUCGGAUUAGCUAGUUGGCGGGGUAAAGGCCCACCAAGGCGACGAUCCGUAGCUGGUCUGAGAGGAUGAUCAGCCACACUGGAACUGAGACACGGUCCAGACUCCUACGGGAGGCAGCAGGGGGGAAUAUUGGCCAAGGGGGGCAAGCCUGACCCAGCCAUACCGCGGGGGUGAAGAAGGCCUUCGGGUUGUAAAGCCCUUUUUUUGGGAAAAAAAAGCAGAAGGUUAAUACCCCGCUGUUCUGACGGUACCCAAAGAAUAAGCACCGGCUAAUUUCGU